Molecule: non-coding RNA, 924 nt
Organism: Camellia sinensis
Lineage: Eukaryota; Viridiplantae; Streptophyta; Magnoliopsida; Ericales; Theaceae
Source: RefSeq, a predicted model, not a curated record
UAUGCAUGAAAGUGGUUUUGUUUGUAGUUUGUAAUCCUGUCAAGGCUCUUUAAUGACCUAUAUUAAUUUGGGCAAUGCUUUGUAGGUUGUCGACUCCAUUCAUUUUUUUAACUUCAUUGUCAUAAGUUCUUGUUAUAUAAUACCAUUGAUAGGAUAUGUAGUUCUUUGUUAGUUUCCCAUGUUGAUGUUAUAUCUCUACAAUGGCAUUCUUUGUUAGUUUCGUUUGUUGAUGUUAUAUCUUUACAACAGGCUUAUCAAUCAAGCAUGUUGAAGGCAUUUAAAAAGACCCUUGAUGAGGGGGUUUUCUCCCUUGUAAUUGGUUCUACUAAUUCUCCAAGAUUGAAGAUGGGUGGUACAAUUGUAAAGAAUGUUGGUAGUAACCUGAAGCACUGUUGGCAGAUCAUUGACAUGAAGAAUGGCUGCAGGGACUAUUUUUCUGGGCGGAUUGCAGCUGGUCUCAGGUGCUGAAUGCCUUGAUAGCAAUCUAUAAAUAUUUUGUUUGUUAUGGUGUCCACUACAGAGCUAGUUUUUUUGAGCCUACCCUUGCAGGUUGUGCAAGGGAAUACAUAUAUUUUUGCUACGGCUCUAUCGCUGCCGUUGACUGUGUUCAUGGUCCGCAUAAUCCAAUUAUAAGGCCCCUAAACAGGUUCUGGUUUAGUGAGCUGCCCCAAAUCCAUGAUUACAUAUGGUCUUAUUGAGGGAAGAAAUGGAAAAUAAUGUGUUUGUACCUCUUCUUUUAGGGAUAUUUGUUUAUCUUUUUGGACAUAUCUGUAUGAUUUGUGGAUAGGUUUUUUUUUUUUUUAAAGGGAAUUUUUUUGAGGGAAGAAAUGAAAAAUAAUGCAUGAAUGUUGAGAUUUCUGCAAAUAUGUCUUUACGUUUAUGGUAUAUAAUAUUUGAAUAUAUAUAUGAUUGUAGGUUUUGUUU